GAUGAAGAACGCAGCGAAAUGCGAUAAGUAAUGUGAAUUGCAGAAUUCAGUGUAUCAUCGAAUCUUUGAACGCACAUUGCGCCCCCUGGUAUUCCGGGGGGCAUGCCUGUUCGAGCGUCAUUUCACCACUCAAGCCUCGCUUGGUAUUGGGCGACGCGGUCCGCCGCGCGCCUCAAAUCGACCGGCUGGGUCUUCCGUCCCCUCAGCGUUGUGGAAACUAUUCGCUAAAGGGUGCCGCGGGAGGUCACGCCGCAAAACAACCCCAUUUCUAAGGUUGACCUCGGAUCAGGUAGGGAUACCCGCUGAACUUAAGCAUAUCAAUAAGCGGAGGA
Molecule: unclassified non-coding RNA, 332 nt
Filed under: soil metagenome
Description: partial contains 5.8S ribosomal RNA, internal transcribed spacer 2, and large subunit ribosomal RNA
Rfam family: 5.8S ribosomal RNA (bases 1-120)
Source: RNAcentral